ACCUUGUCCUUUCUCAUUUUCUCCAAACCCUAAUUUGCUAGAACAAUUCGUGAAACCCUUUGCUCUUCCUCUUCUCCUUUUCCAUUUCACGAUAAGAAUCGAUAUCUUUGCAUCCUCUCUGCUACCAUUGGCUUCCCCGCUAGAAUCGUAAUCGCCGACGAAAUCCUCUGCCGUUGUGGGAGAUUUCGCUUAUACUUGGAUCUCGACAAACCUUGAGUGCCUCAAAGCAGAUCGGAGAUUUAUUCAGCGCGGAUAAGUGGAAAGAGAAAGAAGAAGGAGAUGAUGAUCCAUGAGGAAUAAGAAAUUGAAGAGAGGGAGACGGAGAGGAAGAAUGAUCAGAGAUAUUUACAAGAUAAGUGAGUGUCGAGGGAGUUGGAUUUAACGCCAUUGUUGUUGUUGCUGGAAGGAACCUUUGGUCAUGGAGAGAUUCUUCGUCUUUAUCCACCUCAGCCAGUUCAUACUAUUCUAUUGCCCCUAGAUCAGUCUGUAUAUAUAUUUGCCUAAUAUGCUUUCUCUUGAAACUCUUGGAUUUGUCUAGGUUACAUGUAUCACAAAGAGGUAAGAACUGAUACGGUUUUAUUGAAACACUGAAUUUGUUGCCUCCGUUUCCAGUUUGGAAGGUACAUCAUCUAAUGUUUUCCAAUGCGUUGAUACCAUGGAAGGGCCUUAAGAAAAAGAAAGUCGUCUAAAAAUAAACAUAUGGUUUGCUCGAGCAUGUUUUAAACUUCAAUCAUAACUGAAAUACGUGUUUACAAUCUGUUUUUAUAAACUGUUCAAUCGACAUGAAGACACUACUAUUUCUCUCUUUAGUUUCGUUGCAGUGUUUUUUUUUUUAAAUUAGUAUAUUGUUUCUUGGACCAUGUUUGCAUCUUCAGCUAUUCAUAAAUGAGAACUGUUUAGUUUACAGUCUUAUUUGAUAGCUACUUUGCGUUUCUUGAUAUGGAUGCAGUUAAUAGAGAUGUGAGCCCAUCACAUGGAAACAUUGUGGAUGGAAGCGGGAGAUUUGUCUCCAACAGAACAGUAAUAGAUUUAAGGGAAAAGCUGAUUACGUUUAUGGAACUCAAUCUACCCGAUGGAAAGAGAGUUCUCCAAACUUGCACAAUCAGACUGGCGAUGGACCGUUCACCCCGAGGAGGAGGAGGAGGCGAAGAGAGAAGGCAUAUGGAAUUUAAUUAUUCAUGUGAGAAUAAAUAUAAUUUAUCGACCAGGUCUUUUUGGUCAAUUGUUUGGUGAACUCCUCACGAACCUUGACUACGGUUAUAUUUGGUGCCACCAGCAUAAUCCAGCGAGCAUGUUGUUGCGGAGAAGCAAACCAAGGGCUGUGGCACAACAACCCCACCUGGAAUCAAAAACGUGGAAAAAACACGUAAGCACCCCCGUGAGUGAUAAGAUCGUUUUCCUUCGAUCAGUCCGUCAACACCACUUUAUUCUCCCAUUAUUUAAAUUAAUUUUGUCUCUUUCAUUACGUCCAAGCUUUGUUUUGGUUUUAAAUUUCCUCAAACUAUUUAACAUUUUGUUUUUCAGUAUUCAGUGAAGCUUUGACGGGAUUAUCA
Molecule: long non-coding RNA, 1553 nt
Organism: Brassica oleracea var. oleracea
Lineage: Eukaryota; Viridiplantae; Streptophyta; Magnoliopsida; Brassicales; Brassicaceae
Exons: 3
Source: RefSeq, a predicted model, not a curated record